GAUCAAGGUUCACAUAGUUGUAUUUCUCAGGGCCGAGACACAACCUAACAGAUGGCAGAUACAAGAAGCUGUUCCUUCUGCUCGCCUUGGCCAAGUACAUGGACCCUCGCUGUUUGCCUCUUCCAUUAGCCACGGUCACGGCCCCUGAGAAACACAAUGGAAUGCGCUGUUCUUCAGAAACGACACACAGCCCCAUUUCGUCUCUGUUUAGCAAGCAGGUUUGGAGUCUGGGACCCAGAGGUCCAUGUGGUCCCUGAGUGCUCACAUCGUGAGGGUUCAUCAUCGCCAGGGUUAGAGCUUCCUCACCAAGGAGCCUCGGCUGGAAUCCAUGAUCCACAGAGAAGGGAAGCCAGAACCUGUGUUUGCUCAUCACCAGCCUGUCAAUCAAGAGGCUGACUUUGGGGAGCUUUGUACAGCUGCUCCAAGAGAAGCCGGAGCUCCCGGGGGAGCCUCUGCCCAGGUGGAAGAGACUGCGAGUGAGUGGCCCUUAUUAGGGAUGAUAGCUGGGAAGCUGGUUGUCAUGGCACUGCAGAGGCUAGCGCUGCCCUCCAAGCUGUCCCCAUUUCCCAGGCUGUAUACAUAA
RNAcentral lists this long non-coding RNA (583 nucleotides) under Fukomys damarensis (Damara mole-rat). RNAcentral describes it as "lncRNA (ENSFDAG00000033477.1)". Lineage: Eukaryota; Metazoa; Chordata; Mammalia; Rodentia; Bathyergidae. The record is from RNAcentral.